RNAcentral lists this ribosomal RNA (377 nucleotides) under uncultured eukaryote. RNAcentral describes it as "partial 18S ribosomal RNA". It matches the Rfam family "Eukaryotic small subunit ribosomal RNA", at positions 592 to 976 of the family's 1831-position model. The record is from RNAcentral.
CAAUAGCGUAUAUUUAAGUUGCUGCAGUUAAAAAGCUCGUAGUUGGAUUUCGGGUGGGAAUGGCCGGUCCGCCGUUUCGGUGUGCACUUGCUACGCCCACCUUGCUGCCGGGGACGUGCUCUUGAGUUCACGCUCGGGACACGGAGUCGGCGAGGUUACUUUGAGUAAAUUAGAGCGUUCAAAGCAGGCCUACGCUCUGAAUACAUUAGCAUGGAAUAACACGAUAGGACUCUGGCCUAUCUUGUUGGUCUGUAGGACCGGAGUAAUGAUUAAGAGGGACAGUCGGGGGCAUUCGUAUUUCAUUGUCAGAGGUGAAAUUCUUGGAUUUAUGAAAGACGAACUACUGCGAAAGCAUUUGCCAAGGAUGUUUUCACUAA